This 239-nucleotide long non-coding RNA is filed under the name Manihot esculenta (cassava). RNAcentral's name for it is "long non-coding RNA (MESC_LNC008337)". Lineage: Eukaryota; Viridiplantae; Streptophyta; Magnoliopsida; Malpighiales; Euphorbiaceae. The record is from RNAcentral.
GUGAAUGUGUUUUUGCCAAUUGAGUAUUACCUAGCUUCAAGUUUGCUAUGAGUUGCUUUUAGCUGUAGUGAGAAGAAGGCUGCCGGCCCUCCAAGAUUACUCAAUCCACAUCACCUGCCAAAAUUGCACCAGGGAAUCAAAGACACAAAGCAUAUGGACAUGAACAACAGUGUAUGAUUAGUGAUAAAUGAGCAGUGACAGGUGAAUGAUUCGGCGAAGGUGCGUGCUGUGUUAGGUCA